RNAcentral lists this ribosomal RNA (515 nucleotides) under uncultured bacterium. RNAcentral describes it as "partial 16S ribosomal RNA". It matches the Rfam family "Bacterial small subunit ribosomal RNA", at positions 28 to 523 of the family's 1533-position model. The record is from RNAcentral.
GAUGAACGCUGGCGGCGUGCCUAAUACAUGCAAGUCGAGCGAAUGGAUUAAGAGCUUGCUCUUAUGAAGUUAGCGGCGGACGGGUGAGUAACGCGUGGGUAACCUGCCCAUAAGACUGGGAUAACUCCGGGAAACCGGGGCUAAUACCGGAUAACAUUUUGAACCGCAUGGUUCGAAAUUGAAAGGCGGCUUCGGCUGUCACUUAUGGAUGGACCCGCGUCGCAUUAGCUAGUUGGUGAGGUAACGGCUCACCAAGGCAACGAUGCGUAGCCGACCUGAGAGGGUGAUCGGCCACACUGGGACUGAGACACGGCCCAGACUCAUACGGGAGGCAGCAGUAGGGAAUCUUCCGCAAUGGACGAAAGUCUGACGGAGCAACGCCGCGUGAGUGAUGAAGGCUUUCGGGUCGUAAAACUCUGUUGUUAGGGAAGAACAAGUGCUAGUUGAAUAAGCUGACACCUUGACGGUACCUAACCAGAAAGCCACGGCUAACUACGUGCCAGCAGCCGCGGUAA